RNAcentral lists this ribosomal RNA (254 nucleotides) under uncultured bacterium. RNAcentral's name for it is "partial 16S ribosomal RNA". It matches the Rfam family "Bacterial small subunit ribosomal RNA", at positions 524 to 776 of the family's 1533-position model. The record is from RNAcentral.
UACAGAGGGUGCGAGCGUUGUUCGGAAUUACUGGGCGUAAAGCGCGCGUAGGCGGUCGUUUAAGUCUUACCGUGAAAUGCCGGGGCUCAACUGGGGAGGGUCACUCGAUACUGAUCGACUCGAAGGCAGGAGAGGGAAGUGGAAUUCCCGGUGUAGUGGUGAAAUGCGUAGAUAUCGGGAGGAACACCAGUGGCGAAGGCGACUUCCUGGCCUGUUCUUGACGCUGAGGCGCGAAAGCUAGGGGAGCAAACGGG